AAUAUAGAAAUCAAGGAUAGCUUACCUUUAGGAAUUUAAUCUUUAGUGGGUGAAGCAAAUAAGUAAAGAAGCAUAUAAUAAGGAAUAGCAAAUGCUGUGAUAGCCACACACACAGAAGGUGUGGUGGAGGUAGUGAGAGGGUCAGUAAACUCAGACGAGGCAAGAGAAUGUCUAAACGCCGUCUUUAAGAACAAAAAGGUCAUAGCUCUAGGGGACAUGGAUAAAGGGACGUGUGUGGAAUAAGGGCUUGGGAUGGGUAUUCCCCAGGCGUGACGUGCUUGGAGAGUUGCUGUGUCCAGAGAGUUAAGCAGGUGAUUAGAUCGAAGGCUUUUAAGCAGGAAGAAGACAGUUAGAUAGAGUUGCAGAGAGAGCUGUUAGAAAAUUUAUAGUAAUUCAGGCAAGAUGAUGAGAGGCAAAACUGAGGCAGUAACAUUAGGGAAAGCAAAGAUGGAAGAACUUAAAAAUGUAGAGUAGAAUUAACUCAUCUUGUAGUCCCUUAGAUGUAAAGGAUGACAGGUAAGAAAGACCCAGACGACUCCCAGUUGUACUUUUUCCACCUCUUUGAAAGGUUGAACCUUAAGGGCAGAAUAUCACUCCCUGGGGAAAGCUGAUUAUGCCAGAAGUAUCUGCUGGAGAACCAAAGGUAAAUAACACUGUUAAUUCUGACAUGAAGGAUUUUGGGGGUACAACCAUGGUGUAUUGAAGUUCCUGGGCCAGAGGUCAAAUCUGAGCCACAGCUGUGACCUAUGCCAGAGAAGUGGCAACAGCCGAUCCUUAACCUGCUGUGCCACAAUGGGAACUCCAACAUGAAGGAUCUUAAAUGGGAGGCAGAGCCUUGAGAGAGAAGCAAGACGGGAAUGGUUGGCAACUUGUGAGAAAGCUGCAGGGGGUGGGGGUGCUGUUAGGAAUUGGGAGGUAUCCAGACAAAAAUGUGGCCACCACUUAGAAUGCGUGGUAAGUGAGCUGCACUGAACUGGUUUAAGACAUCUGGGUUGACUGAGUUGGACUCCUCCCCCCACCCCCCUCCCCCAGUCUCCUACUUAACCUUGGUUGCCUGUUGGAGUAAGGCCGUGCUUUCCCAGACUCACUUAGGGAGUUGUCAGGAUACUCUCUGAAGCAUUCUCGAGGUUUUCCCUUUGGCUCGUUUGUCCCAUACCCUUUCCGUCAUGCUAGUCUUCUCAGACGUUCACAGCAAAAGUAAGCUACUCUUGGAAGCAGUCUUUUUAGAAACGGACAAUAAAGAUGAACCCUGCUUUCCUGGUGGAUGCUGCAGUUGGGAUGGGUGGAUUGGGCCAUACAGGAGGGGACCAGAAGAGGUGUAUUAGUUCCUGAAACUGGGUUGCUGCUGGCUGUAUCACGAUCUUUGUUGAGCAAAGGACAGAAAAUGAGGCCUGGGAAACAUAUUUAGUUCCUGGAGAAGCAGCAGAAACUUGGGAAUAUCCUUGUAUUAAAUUAUUAGGUCAAGGAGUCCGUUUUCCACCUACAGAUUCACUAAUCUAGUAUAAUCUAGUCAGUUUAGGCUUCCUCAGUUUCUCCAAAUUGCUUCAGAGCUGCUCCUCUUGGUCACGUGGAACUUCCUAGCCUAGGAAUUUCUACAAAGCAGGGCCUGUGAGAAUAAUAGGAACUUAAUGCCUGGAAGGGAAUUGUCCUAAAAUGUCAAAAGUGCUUAUAUAUACUAAAUAUUACUACAUGAUUUAAAAUUUGGUUUCCCACAUAAAAUACAGUAAACAGUUUUUGUGCAGUUAAGUACCUUCGUGUUAAAUUCUACCUUAUAGAACCUGAUUUCCAUGGUUCUCUCCCAUGAACUUAUGGAUGCAAUGUUUAUUAUUUUAUAAGGUUUUAAAAAGCACUUCCCAACAAAACGAGUUUGAGAUUUAAGUGCUUUUGAAUUGGCCUAUUUAUUAGCUGGAUAACAGAAAGCAAACUAUGUAGUAUUAGCGAUGUAAAUUUGUAUUUUAGAAAACUAUCGAGUAACUAUGUCAUGAACUUUUCAGAAUAACUCAUCCCCAAACUGAAAUCUUACUACAUUUCAAAAUUUAAGGGUAUUCAUGUCCAAAUUCAGAGGAUAUAUCCAUCAAGGAAAUCAAUGAUACAUGGUUCAACCCUUGUUGGAGCUCAAGCAUUGCCAAGGCUACAGGCCUUUCUAGGGUAUUUCAGUAUCCAAACUAUUGUCAUUUUAGUAUGUGAUGAGUGUAAAAACUGUCAGUGAGCUAUUUCACAUUUUUGUUUGUUUUUCUGUCUCUGGUGUGUAUUUUGUAUGUAUAGCACAUCUGUAUCCAGACCUAGCCAUGUUUUAGGUGCUCAGGAGCCGUGUGUGACCAGUGACUAUGUACUGGACGUGCAGACCGAGAUGACUGAGGUUGACUUUCCACUCUAUCCUUAACGUGAUCAUUUUCCAAAGUCUUGUAAUUUCAACUUUGUAGAGACCUGAGUCUCUCAAAGUUAAUUUCGCUGCUACACAUGGGCAGAGUCGGUCCUAUUCUGUUACUGAAUCUGAGCUGAUUGUUCUGUUGUAAUCCUAUUGUAUAACCAGUAUAUAGCCUUUAUCUAGGUUUCCUCACAUCCCCAAAUCAGGGUGUAAGCCCUUGAGGAAGAGAGUGUCAAGUUUGUCUCAGCUCUGCAGCUAAGCUCUAGCUUCAUCCCCUCCAGUUCUCUUUCCUGCUUGAUUGGACUCUUGGCUCCUUUUGAAUGAGAAAACCACUCUUAUAUCCUUCUGCGUUCUUCCCAACUCUGGUUCAUAUAAUAAAUUACCUUAUUCAGCCAGGGUCUCAUCCUUGAUUUGCACAGCAAAGUUUAUAGAGUCCUAGAAGCCCUCUCUGCCUCCAGAACGUGGCUCUGACAAAUCAGAAGUCCUUUGGCUUUCAGGCUCUUGUCUCUUCCUUCAGCUUUCAAAAACUGGGGUGUCUGUUUCAUCCUCAUUGUCUCUCCCUACUGAAGGAGCAGCUGCCAGUGAGUCACUGAGUAGGUGGCUGUAAUCAACAAGGAAUGCAAGGAACGAAAAAUGUAGCAGUUAAUAAUUCAAAAAUAGUGUUUUAUUUUACGCACGUCGAUCACAAGAAAGCCACUUUGGUAACUGUAUGUGGGUAACGAUAGUCUCAUAGCGUUUUCAUUCUUCAUGUUGGUAAUCUUGAGAAGUCUUCAAACCAUGAAGAAGAGUGUGUGGGAGUUACUCGAACUAGAAUGCAGAGUAGACUGAAGUGGUUCGUUCAUUUGAAUGUACUUAUCAAACAUUUGACAGAUGUAAGAGAGUGUAUGCGACCCUGCAUACACUGAUGGGGAGAAAAGAUAGUUCCUGCCCUUAGGGAGCUUAUGGUUCAGAGUUCUUAGCAGAAGUUGGUCAUCAGCUGUGGUGUAGCGAACAUACAAAUAACGUGGGUCUCUUAAACCUAAGUUUUUCUUUUCCCUUCUGUUUUUAUUGAGAUAUAAUCAACAAACAGCACUGUGUAAGUUUAAGGUGCAUAGCAUAGGGAUUUGACUUCCAUACACACAUGAGUACCACAAGUUCAGUGAGCAUCCAUUAUCUCAUACAGAUGCAAAGUAAGAGUAAAUAAAAAAAUACCUACGGCCCUUGUGAUGAAAACUCUUAGGAUUUACUCUCUUAACUUCCCUUUACCAUACAUCAGUGUUAAUUAUAUCAACCAUGUUGUACACUACAUCCAUAAUAACUUACCUUGUAACUGGGAGUUUGUGCCUCUUGACCACCUUCUGAUCUGGUUCUUGAAUAAACAUUUGUGU
RNAcentral lists this long non-coding RNA (3735 nucleotides) under Sus scrofa (pig). Its description in RNAcentral is "lncRNA (ENSSSCG00000058908.1)". The record is from RNAcentral. Lineage: Eukaryota; Metazoa; Chordata; Mammalia; Artiodactyla; Suidae.